ACAAAGGAGGGAGAACAAGAGAGGGAGACCGAAAAAGAAAUUGAGAGUUGCGAGCUACGAGCUGCCCCAAAUUGAGAUCAACAAUUAAGGGAAUGAUGCAUCCAAUCGAUCUACACAUGAGCAGGAAACAAAAACAACAAAGCAAUUAUAAGAUCAUGACCUAACAAAUUAACUAUAGCAACCAAAAGCAAGUGUGCCUUUACCC
This 205-nucleotide long non-coding RNA is filed under the name Vigna radiata. RNAcentral describes it as "long non-coding RNA (VRAD_LNC005572)". The record is from RNAcentral. Lineage: Eukaryota; Viridiplantae; Streptophyta; Magnoliopsida; Fabales; Fabaceae.